GUGUGGCGGGCGAGGCGGGUGUUUUGUGACACCCAUGACGGCUAUGGCGACCUGUGUGACUGUGACCACCCCUUCGUCUUCCCCGCCCACCGCCAACUUACAGCCCCGCCAUAUUGGAGAGAAGACAUCCCCAUCAUCAUUAUGGCUGGUAACAGGACCCGAUAUUUUUACAGAUUGUUGGAGAGUGUGGGGAAGCAACCAGCUGUGAAAAGCCAGCUGGUGUUGGUGGUGACAGAUGGUGUGGUGGAGGACGUGUUACGCCUCUCUCACAUCUUACACCUCAACGUUGUCAUC
Molecule: long non-coding RNA, 294 nt
Organism: Homarus americanus (American lobster)
Lineage: Eukaryota; Metazoa; Arthropoda; Malacostraca; Decapoda; Nephropidae
Exons: 3
Source: RefSeq, a predicted model, not a curated record